Molecule: ribosomal RNA, 812 nt
Filed under: Escherichia coli
Lineage: Bacteria; Pseudomonadati; Pseudomonadota; Gammaproteobacteria; Enterobacterales; Enterobacteriaceae
Description: partial 23S ribosomal RNA
Rfam family: Bacterial large subunit ribosomal RNA
Source: RNAcentral
UGUAGGAUAGGUGGGAGGCUUUGAAGUGUGGACGCCAGUCUGCAUGGAGCCGACCUUGAAAUACCACCCUUUAAUGUUUGAUGUUCUAACGUGGACCCGUGAUCCGGGUUGCGGACAGUGUCUGGUGGGUAGUUUGACUGGGGCGGUCUCCUCCUAAAGAGUAACGGAGGAGCACGAAGGUUGGCUAAUCCUGGUCGGACAUCAGGAGGUUAGUGCAAUGGCAUAAGCCAGCUUGACUGCGAGCGUGACGGCGCGAGCAGGUGCGAAAGCAGGUCAUAGUGAUCCGGUGGUUCUGAAUGGAAGGGCCAUCGCUCAACGGAUAAAAGGUACUCCGGGGAUAACAGGCUGAUACCGCCCAAGAGUUCAUAUCGACGGCGGUGUUUGGCACCUCGAUGUCGGCUCAUCACAUCCUGGGGCUGAAGUAGGUCCCAAGGGUAUGGCUGUUCGCCAUUUAAAGUGGUACGCGAGCUGGGUUUAGAACGUCGUGAGACAGUUCGGUCCCUAUCUGCCGUGGGCGCUGGAGAACUGAGGGGGGCUGCUCCUAGUACGAGAGGACCGGAGUGGACGCAUCACUGGUGUUCGGGUUGUCAUGCCAAUGGCACUGCCCGGUAGCUAAAUGCGGAAGAGAUAAGUGCUGAAAGCAUCUAAGCACGAAACUUGCCCCGAGAUGAGUUCUCCCUGACCCUUUAAGGGUCCUGAAGGAACGUUGAAGACGACGACGUUGAUAGGCCGGGUGUGUAAGCGCAGCGAUGCGUUGAGCUAACCGGUACUAAUGAACCGUGAGGCUUAACCUUACAACGCCGAAGGUGUUU